AUUGAACGCUGGCGGAAUGCUUUACACAUGCAAGUCGAACUGCAGCACGGGGCAACCUGGUGGCGAGUGGCGAACGGGUGAGUAAUACAUCGGAACGCGCCCAAUCGUGGGGGAUAACGUAGCGAAAGCUACGCUAAUACCGCAUACGAUCUACGGAUGAAAGCGGGGGAUCGCAAGACCUCGCGCGAAUGGAGCGGCCGAUAGCAGAUUAGGUAGUUGGUGGGGUAAAGGCUCACCAAGCCGACGAUCUGUAGCUGGUCUGAGAGGACGACCAGCCACACUGGGACUGAGACACGGCCCAGACUCCUACGGGAGGCAGCAGUGGGGAAUUUUGGACAAUGGGCGCAAGCCUGAUCCAGCCAUUCCGCGUGCAGGAUGAAGGCCUUCGGGUUGUAAACUGCUUUUGUACGGAACGAAAAGGCUCUGGUUAAUACCCGGGGCUCAUGACGGUACCGUAAGAAUAAGCACCGGCUAACUACGUGCCAGCCGCCGCAGUAA
RNAcentral lists this ribosomal RNA (498 nucleotides) under uncultured bacterium. RNAcentral describes it as "partial 16S ribosomal RNA". It matches the Rfam family "Bacterial small subunit ribosomal RNA", at positions 30 to 523 of the family's 1533-position model. The record is from RNAcentral.